Physella acuta is the source of this 918-nucleotide long non-coding RNA. RefSeq lists it as uncharacterized. The record is from RefSeq and is a predicted model, not a curated record. NCBI's taxonomy places the organism in Eukaryota, Metazoa, Mollusca, Gastropoda, Physidae.
CUCCAAUAGCAUCGUAUGCAAGAAGGCAGCUUUUUCAGUGAUGGACCACCCCACUAGAGAGGGUUUAAAAUGAUAUAUACAUCUUCAUUGUCUAAUUAAGUCACAGCAAUGGCUGAGCUGGUGUAGGAUGAAUUUUCAAAUGCAAGACUUUCUUAUACAGCAAGAUAAAACAGAUUGUACUUAGAAGAUGCCACCAAAGAAAUUAACCAUUGUUGGAAGAGAAACUGUGCACGCUAAAACAAAUGGCAGUUAAAAGAAAAAGUGAAGCAUUGGAUGAAAUUGUCUCCAGAUUAGAGAAGGGACAUUCCAAAUAUUCCAAUAGAUCUAAGAACCCAGACAUCACAUGACUUUCAGAAAGAAAGAACAAAGUUCUCUCAGUGUUUAAGGAAAGAUGCGAUAAAAUGGAUGCAUGACUCAAGAACAAGACUGUUACAAACAUCAAUUUUCAAUUUGAUUGUCACAGAUGUCAGCUCUCAACAAUAUGACUAUCACAAACAUCAUCUCUAAAAUCUGAGAAGUCCAGCAUCCUUGUCAUAGAGCAAAUAAACUGUUCAAUAUUACACCACCCACACACGUUUCGCCUGCCAACCACGAUGUUGCUAGAUUGAUCACAUUAUUGACGCCUGUUGAUAAAAUUGAUGCUCCUUGACCUAUCAACCAAUCUCAAACAACGCAAGCGAUCAUAUAGAGGAAAAAAUGAUCAUCGCUCGUCAAAUGAAUCUUCAAUAAGCUUUUAACCUCUUGAACCUCCAAUAGCAUCGUAUGCAAGAAGGCAGCUUUUUCAGUGAUGGACCACCCCACUAGAGAGGGUUUAAAAUGAUAUAUACAUCUUCAUUGUCUAAUUAAGUCACAGCAAUGGCUGAACUGGUGUAGGAUGAAUUUUCAAAUGCAAGACUUUCUUAUACAGCAAGAUAAAAC